GGCUCAAUCGGGUACAAUUGGAAUCGGGUUUUUGAUCAAACCAGACCCGGGUACUACACGUAUCAUGGGGUACCUUGUAGGGCCGAGUAUGGUUAUAAUAUAAUGCAUUUGACCGUUGGUACUAGAGGUAUAGGUCGGGUCCGGUUUCUACCCGAAAAUUGGGUACAACCAAUCAUGUUUAAAAUAAAAGGGAUUUGACCGUUGGAACCAGUUCCUAAUGGUAAUAUAGCCGUUUGGAACCAGUUAUUUACCAUUUUAGCCCUCCUAAUUUACAAUUUAGUAUAAAUAGGUGUUGAAUGUUUAUGUUUGAUUACACCACUUUUCUAAUUCUCAAACGCUCUCUAAAAUGAAAAACGGCUUAACCCUCUCAACCUUUUUUUCUAUCACCACCAACGAUGGCAAACAAUGAAGAAGUUAUUUUGGCACUUGAAAUAUUAACAAUCUUACAAUUUGAAGUGUCAGCAGACAGCAGUCGUAGGAAGUUUAGAUAAAGAUAAAUAUUGACACUUUGAUCGCUUAGACAUAUCCUGAUAUAUUCGACAACAAAAGUUAAAAAUCAAAAUAAAUUCAUAAAGGGCCUUGAACAAUUAUCUGAUGAAAAUCGUACACAUUCAUCAUUAGUAAUCAAUAAACAAAGAAACAAUUGCAAUUUGAUUAUAAGUAUCAUGAAAUAGUAAAAUGUCAUGAAUAAAUCGGAUAAGAAAAUGUUUAUGUUGACAUACUCAAAGUAACUGUUUUACUCGUCUAAUAGUAAAUGACACAUUGACCGGUACUUAUAAUGUUUUAUACAUGGUUAUAAUUAUUUAUACAUGAUUAUAAUGUUUUAUACAUCUACGCUUAGGGGGCACUCCACUAGUGAUGAAAUUCCGUCACUCACAACAUCCAAUCAAGUUCCGCCACAUCAUCGAGCUUCGUUCCGUCACUAGUGAUGGAUUUUAGUGGAAAUGCCCAUCACUAGUGAUGGUUUCUUUUUAUUUUAAAAUAUAAAUUAACAAUAAAACAAGGGUAAAUUACACUUUCGUCCUUUAUGUUUGUAUCGGAUUGCAACGGAUAGCCUUUAACUUCAAUAAUUACAGUCACAAUCCUUUAUUUGGAAAACGCAUUACACCUUUCGUCCUUUAACACUAAACCAAUUAAAAUUUUCAGUACACUCUAGUCAUGUGCAUUGCACAUGAGGGCAAUUCAGUUAACUCUAGUCAUGUGCAUAUCCAUCUAUUUAUUAGUUAAGACUAAGAUUAAAUGAGUGA
RNAcentral lists this long non-coding RNA (1247 nucleotides) under Helianthus annuus (common sunflower). RNAcentral's name for it is "hypothetical non coding rna". Lineage: Eukaryota; Viridiplantae; Streptophyta; Magnoliopsida; Asterales; Asteraceae. The record is from RNAcentral.